GACGAACGCUGGCGGCGUGCCUAAUACAUGCAAGUCGAACGCAGUGGGGACGGGGGAGUAGCACAUGGGUAACGUCCCAUCAGAGGGGAGAACACUUGGCAACAGGUGCUAAACCGAUACUGAUGGAUGGACCCGGGGUGCAUUAGCCAGUUGGUGAGGUAACGGCUCACAAAGGCCACGAUGCAUAGCGGGCCUGAGAGGGUGACCGGCCACACUGGGACUGAGACACGGCCCAGACUCCUACGGGAGGCAGCAGUGGGGAAUCUUGGGCAAUGGACGAAAGUCUGACCGAGCAACGCCGCGUGAGUGAAGAAGGUUUUCGGAUCGUAAAACUCUUUUGUCAGAGAAGCGGUAUCUGACGAGAAAGCACCGGCUAACUACGUGCCAGCAGCCGCGGUAAUUC
Molecule: ribosomal RNA, 403 nt
Filed under: uncultured bacterium
Lineage: Bacteria
Description: partial 16S ribosomal RNA
Rfam family: Bacterial small subunit ribosomal RNA
Source: RNAcentral